CCUACGGGUGGCAGCAGUGGGGGAUAUUGCACAAUGGGGGGAACCCUGAUGCAGCGACGCCGCGUGGGUGAAGAAGCGCCUCGGCGCGUAAAGCCCUGUCAGCAGGGAAGAAAAUGACGGUACCUGAAGAAGAAGCCCCGGCUAACUACGUGCCAGCAGCCGCGGUAAUACGUAGGGGGCAAGCGUUAUCCGGAUUUACUGGGUGUAAAGGGGGCGCAGACGGCGAUGCAAGCCAGGAGUGAAAGCCCGGGGCCCAACCCCGGGACUGCUCAUGGAACUGCGUGGCUAGAGUGCAGGAGGGGCAGGCGGAAUUCCUGGUGUAGCGGUGAAAGGCGUAGAUAGCAGGAGGAACACCGGUGGCGAAGGCGGCCUGCUGGACUGCAACUGACGUUGAGGCCCGAAGGCGUGGGGAGCAAACAGGAUUAGAUACCCGUGUAGUC
This 440-nucleotide ribosomal RNA is filed under the name uncultured bacterium. RNAcentral describes it as "partial 16S ribosomal RNA". It matches the Rfam family "Bacterial small subunit ribosomal RNA", at positions 338 to 795 of the family's 1533-position model. The record is from RNAcentral.